Molecule: ribosomal RNA, 496 nt
Filed under: uncultured bacterium
Lineage: Bacteria
Description: partial 16S ribosomal RNA
Rfam family: Bacterial small subunit ribosomal RNA
Source: RNAcentral
AUUGAACGCUGGCGGAAUGCUUUACACAAGCAAGUCGAACGGUAGAGGGGGCAACCCCUCGAGAGUGGCGAACGGGUGAGUAAUAUAUCGGAACGUGCCCAGUCGUGGGGGAUAACGUAGCGAAAGUUACGCUAAUACCGCAUACGAUCUAAGGAUGAAAGCGGGGGAUCGCAAGACCUCGCGCGAUUGGAGCGGCCGAUAUCAGAGUAGGUAGUUGGUGGGGUAAAGGGUCACCAAGCCAACGAUCUGUAGCUGGUCUGACAGGACGACCAGCCACACUGGAACUGAGACACGGUCCAGACUCCUACGGGAGGCAGCAGUGGGGAAUUUUGGACAAUUGACGCAAGUCUGGUCCAGCCAUUCCGCGUGCAGGAUGAAGGCCCUCGGGUUGUAAACUGCUUUUGUACGGAACGAAAAGGUCUCUCUUAAUACGGGGGGCUCAUGACGGUACCGUAAGAAUAAGCACCGGCUAACUACGUGCCAGCCGCCGCGGUAA